Molecule: transfer RNA, 72 nt
Filed under: Camelus bactrianus (Bactrian camel)
Lineage: Eukaryota; Metazoa; Chordata; Mammalia; Artiodactyla; Camelidae
Also listed under: 1 other name
Rfam family: tRNA
About the family: Transfer RNA (tRNA) molecules are approximately 80 nucleotides in length.
Source: Rfam by way of RNAcentral
GAGGGUGCAGCUCAGUGGUAAAGUGCAUGCCUGGCAUGUGUGAGGUCCCAGGUUCAAUUCCCUGCACCUUCA